Molecule: ribosomal RNA, 2933 nt
Filed under: Bacillus anthracis (anthrax bacterium)
Lineage: Bacteria; Bacillati; Bacillota; Bacilli; Caryophanales; Bacillaceae
Description: bacterial LSU rRNA
Rfam family: Bacterial large subunit ribosomal RNA
Source: RNAcentral
UUUGGUUAAGUUAGAAAAGGGCGCACGGUGGAUGCCUUGACACUAGGAGUCGAUGAAGGACGGGACUAACGCCGAUAUGCUUCGGGGAGCUGUAAGUAAGCUUUGAUCCGAAGAUUUCCGAAUGGGGAAACCCACCAUACGUAAUGGUAUGGUAUCCUUAUCUGAAUACAUAGGGUAAGGAAGACAGACCCAGGGAACUGAAACAUCUAAGUACCUGGAGGAAGAGAAAGCAAAUGCGAUUUCCUGAGUAGCGGCGAGCGAAACGGAACAUAGCCCAAACCAAGAGGCUUGCCUCUUGGGGUUGUAGGACAUUCUAUACGGAGUUACAAAGGAACGAGGUAGACGAAGCGACCUGGAAAGGUCCGUCGUAGAGGGUAACAACCCCGUAGUCGAAACUUCGUUCUCUCUUGAAUGUAUCCUGAGUACGGCGGAACACGUGAAAUUCCGUCGGAAUCUGGGAGGACCAUCUCCCAAGGCUAAAUACUCCCUAGUGAUCGAUAGUGAACCAGUACCGUGAGGGAAAGGUGAAAAGCACCCCGGAAGGGGAGUGAAAGAGAUCCUGAAACCGUGUGCCUACAAAUAGUCAGAGCCCGUUAACGGGUGAUGGCGUGCCUUUUGUAGAAUGAACCGGCGAGUUACGAUCCCGUGCGAGGUUAAGCUGAAGAGGCGGAGCCGCAGCGAAAGCGAGUCUGAAUAGGGCGUUUAGUACGUGGUCGUAGACCCGAAACCAGGUGAUCUACCCAUGUCCAGGGUGAAGUUCAGGUAACACUGAAUGGAGGCCCGAACCCACGCACGUUGAAAAGUGCGGGGAUGAGGUGUGGGUAGCGGAGAAAUUCCAAUCGAACCUGGAGAUAGCUGGUUCUCCCCGAAAUAGCUUUAGGGCUAGCCUUAAGUGUAAGAGUCUUGGAGGUAGAGCACUGAUUGGACUAGGGGUCCUCAUCGGAUUACCGAAUUCAGUCAAACUCCGAAUGCCAAUGACUUAUCCUUAGGAGUCAGACUGCGAGUGAUAAGAUCCGUAGUCAAAAGGGAAACAGCCCAGACCGCCAGCUAAGGUCCCAAAGUGUGUAUUAAGUGGAAAAGGAUGUGGAGUUGCUUAGACAACUAGGAUGUUGGCUUAGAAGCAGCCACCAUUUAAAGAGUGCGUAAUAGCUCACUAGUCGAGUGACUCUGCGCCGAAAAUGUACCGGGGCUAAAUACACCACCGAAGCUGCGGAUUGAUACCAAUGGUAUCAGUGGUAGGGGAGCGUUCUAAGGACAGUGAAGUCAGACCGGAAGGACUGGUGGAGUGCUUAGAAGUGAGAAUGCCGGUAUGAGUAGCGAAAGACGGGUGAGAAUCCCGUCCACCGAAUGCCUAAGGUUUCCUGAGGAAGGCUCGUCCGCUCAGGGUUAGUCAGGACCUAAGCCGAGGCCGACAGGCGUAGGCGAUGGACAACAGGUUGAUAUUCCUGUACCACCUCUUUAUCGUUUGAGCAAUGGAGGGACGCAGAAGGAUAGAAGAAGCGUGCGAUUGGUUGUGCACGUCCAAGCAGUUAGGCUGAUAAGUAGGCAAAUCCGCUUAUCGUAAAGGCUGAGCUGUGAUGGGGAAGCUCCUUAUGGAGCGAAGUCUUUGAUUCCCCGCUGCCAAGAAAAGCUUCUAGCGAGAUAAAAGGUGCCUGUACCGCAAACCGACACAGGUAGGCGAGGAGAGAAUCCUAAGGUGUGCGAGAGAACUCUGGUUAAGGAACUCGGCAAAAUGACCCCGUAACUUCGGAGAGAAGGGGUGCUUUCUUAACGGAAAGCCGCAGUGAAUAGGCCCAAGCGACUGUUUAGCAAAAACACAGCUCUCUGCGAAGCCGUAAGGCGAAGUAUAGGGGGUGACACCUGCCCGGUGCUGGAAGGUUAAGGAGAGGGGUUAGCGUAAGCGAAGCUCUGAACUGAAGCCCCAGUAAACGGCGGCCGUAACUAUAACGGUCCUAAGGUAGCGAAAUUCCUUGUCGGGUAAGUUCCGACCCGCACGAAAGGUGUAACGAUUUGGGCACUGUCUCAACCAGAGACUCGGUGAAAUUUAUAGUACCUGUGAAGAUGCAGGUUACCCGCGACAGGACGGAAAGACCCCGUGGAGCUUUACUGUAGCCUGAUAUUGAAUUUUGGUACAGUUUGUACAGGAUAGGCGGGAGCCUUUUGAAACCGGAGCGCUAGCUUCGGUGGAGGCGCUGGUGGGAUACCGCCCUGACUGUAUUGAAAUUCUAACCUACGGGUCUUAUCGACCCGGGAGACAGUGUCAGGUGGGCAGUUUGACUGGGGCGGUCGCCUCCUAAAGUGUAACGGAGGCGCCCAAAAGGUUCCCUCAGAAUGGUUGGAAAUCAUUCGUAGAGUGCAAAGGCAUAAGGGAGCUUGACUGCGAGACCUACAAGUCGAGCAGGGACGAAAGUCGGGCUUAGUGAUCCGGUGGUUCCGCAUGGAAGGGCCAUCGCUCAACGGAUAAAAGCUACCCCGGGGAUAACAGGCUUAUCUCCCCCAAGAGUCCACAUCGACGGGGAGGUUUGGCACCUCGAUGUCGGCUCAUCGCAUCCUGGGGCUGUAGUCGGUCCCAAGGGUUGGGCUGUUCGCCCAUUAAAGCGGUACGCGAGCUGGGUUCAGAACGUCGUGAGACAGUUCGGUCCCUAUCCGUCGUGGGCGUAGGAAAUUUGAGAGGAGCUGUCCUUAGUACGAGAGGACCGGGAUGGACGCACCGCUGGUGUACCAGUUGUUCUGCCAAGGGCAUAGCUGGGUAGCUAUGUGCGGAAGGGAUAAGUGCUGAAAGCAUCUAAGCAUGAAGCCCCCCUCAAGAUGAGAUUUCCCAUAGCGUAAGCUAGUAAGAUCCCUGAAAGAUGAUCAGGUUGAUAGGUUCGAGGUGGAAGCAUGGUGACAUGUGGAGCUGACGAAUACUAAUAGAUCGAGGACUUAACCAUAUA